UACGUAGGGCGCAAGCGUUGUCCGGAAUUAUUGGGCGUAAAGAGCUCGUAGGUGGUUUGUCGCGUUGUUCGUGAAAACUCACAGCUUAACUGUGGGCGUGCGGGCGAUACGGGCAGACUGGAGUACUGCAGGGGAGACUGGAAUUCCUGGUGUAGCGGUGGAAUGCGCAGAUAUCAGGAGGAACACCGGUGGCGAAGGCGGUUCUCUGGGCAUGAUCUGACGCUGAGGAGCGAAAGUGUGGGGAGCGAACAGG
Molecule: ribosomal RNA, 253 nt
Filed under: uncultured bacterium
Lineage: Bacteria
Description: partial 16S ribosomal RNA
Rfam family: Bacterial small subunit ribosomal RNA
Source: RNAcentral